RNAcentral lists this ribosomal RNA (253 nucleotides) under uncultured bacterium. RNAcentral describes it as "partial 16S ribosomal RNA". It matches the Rfam family "Bacterial small subunit ribosomal RNA", at positions 524 to 776 of the family's 1533-position model. The record is from RNAcentral.
UACGUAGGGGGCAAGCGUUGUCCGGAAUCAUUGGGCGUAAAGAGCGUGUAGGUGGCUCGGUAAGUCCGCUGUGAAAGUCCAGGGCUCAACCCUGGAAAGCCGGUGGAAACUGUCGAGCUCGAGUCCGGAAGAGGCGAGUGGAAUUCCUGGUGUAGCGGUGAAAUUCGUAGAUAUCAAGCGGAACACCGGUGGCGAAGGCGGCCUUCUGGACAGUGACUGACGCUGAGACGCGAAAGCGUGGGGAGCAAACAGG